RNAcentral lists this ribosomal RNA (252 nucleotides) under uncultured bacterium. RNAcentral describes it as "partial 16S ribosomal RNA". It matches the Rfam family "Bacterial small subunit ribosomal RNA", at positions 524 to 776 of the family's 1533-position model. The record is from RNAcentral.
UACGGAGGAUGCGAGCGUUAUCCGGAUUUAUCGGGUUUAAAGGGUGCGCAGGCGGCACGGCAAGCCGGCGGUCAAAUCGCGGGGCUCAACCCCGCCCAGCCGUCGGAACUGCCGGGCUAGAGUGGGCAAGAAGUGCGCGGAAUGCGUGGUGUAGCGGUGAAAUGCAUAGAUAUCACGCAGAACUCCGAUUGCGAAGGCAGCGCACCGGCGCCCUACUGACGCUCAGGCACGAAAGCGUGGGUAUCGAACAGG